CGCCGCGUGAGUGAUGAAGGUCUUCGGAUCGUAAAACUCUGUUAUUAGGGAAGAACAAAUGUGUAAGUAACUAUGCACGUCUUGACGGUACCUAAUCAGAAAGCCACGGCUAACUACGUGCCAGCAGCCGCGGUAAUACGUAGGUGGCAAGCGUUAUCCGGAAUUAUUGGGCGUAAAGCGCGCGUAGGCGGUUUUUUAAGUCUGAUGUGAAAGCCCACGGCUCAACCGUGGAGGGUCAUUGGAAACUGGAAAACUUGAGUGCAGAAGAGGAAAGUGGAAUUCCAUGUGUAGCGGUGAAAUGCGCAGAGAUAUGGAGGAACACCAGUGGCGAAGGCGACUUUCUGGUCUGUAACUGACGCUGAUGUGCGAAAGCGUGGGGAUCAAACAGGAUUAGAUACCCUGGUAGUCCACGCCGUAAACGAUGAGUGCUAAGUGUUAGGGGGUUUCCGCCCCUUAGUGCUGCAGCUAACGCAUUAAGCACUCCGCCUGGGGAGUACGACCGCAAGGUUGAAACUCAAA
This 519-nucleotide ribosomal RNA is filed under the name uncultured bacterium. RNAcentral describes it as "bacterial SSU rRNA". It matches the Rfam family "Bacterial small subunit ribosomal RNA", at positions 395 to 905 of the family's 1533-position model. The record is from RNAcentral.